CAGUAGCCGCGGUAAUACAGAGGGUGCGAGCGUUAAUCGGAUUUACUGGGCGUAAAGCGUGCGUAGGCGGCUAAUUGAGUCGGAUGUGAAAUCCCCGAGCUUAACUUGGGAAUUGCAUUCGAUACUGGUUAGCUAGAGUGUGGGAGAGGAUGGUAGAAUUCCAGGUGUAGCGGUGAAAUGCGUAGAGAUCUGGAGGAAUACCGAUGGCGAAGGCAGCCAUCUGGCCUAACACUGACGCUGAGGUACGAAAGCAUGGGGAGCAAACAGGAUUAGAGACCCGUGUAGUCCCUGUCUCUUAUAC
RNAcentral lists this ribosomal RNA (301 nucleotides) under uncultured bacterium. RNAcentral describes it as "partial 16S ribosomal RNA". It matches the Rfam family "Bacterial small subunit ribosomal RNA", at positions 509 to 807 of the family's 1533-position model. The record is from RNAcentral.